Molecule: small RNA, 31 nt
Filed under: Bombyx mori (domestic silkworm)
Lineage: Eukaryota; Metazoa; Arthropoda; Insecta; Lepidoptera; Bombycidae
Description: ovarian small RNA-13728
Source: RNAcentral
CCCUCAAGGAGCUGGGCUUUCCUGCCCGAUA